ACCUCUUACCAUAUCUGUUCUUGGUUUCAAUUUGAGAAGAUCGACUUUGUGAAUCCCUUUUAUCUAUGAGAUUAACGUUAGUUCUUAAACGUGCAUGUGUAAUUUUCUGUUCCCUCCGUACCGGAGAUGAUCUAGGUUAAUUUCUGAAUUGUUCAAUUAGGAGAGUUUUAGAUCUGCAGAUUUGAGUUCAAGUGAAGCAGAUUUGAGGCUUGGUUCUAAUUGCAGGCCACGGGGAUUGGAAUUUCCUAUGAUCCCUCCUCAUAUUACGACCGGAAAAGCCUGGUGCAAGACGUUGCUGAUUCGUUUAGAACCGGAGCUGCAACGAACAACUGGAAUGAGUGACCAAAGCUAUUAUUACUGGUGUCGAAAUGACUGGAAUGAGUGAUAGAGUUUGUGUUGACCUUUGCAGCCUCAUGAAACCUGGUUGGAUCUUUUGCUAGAGGAUUAUUUCUUGUUCACUCACAGUCAAACUACAUUGCUACUAGGCCUUUCGCAGUUAACACUUCCCGUCCAUGCCUAUAUGGCGAUUUCAGGAGGUAAAACUUGCUACCUAUCAGCAGGGGCGGCUGCACCCACAUAAUGUGGGUCGGGGUCCCAGGACCCCAAUCAUUUCAUUAAAUAUGUGUUUUAUAAAGUGGCCCAAUACUUUGGCGAGUCGAGCUCGAGCCGAGCUUUGGCUCGUUCAAGCGAUAAUGAAGCAUGCUCGAGCCGAGCUUUUAGCUCGUUUGAGGUUGUUCUUAAAAUAGCCCGAGCCGAGUCGAGCCGAGCUCGAGCUCAAAUAAGUUUUUGUUCAAAUUAUCUUUUUUUUUCUUGUUACGGCAGCGGUGGCAAGAGACACGUACCGUUUCGACGCGUACCGUUUCGACCCGUACCUUUUCGACCCAUACCGUUUUGACCCGUACUGUUACGGAUCAGUUCUGUUUGAAUUGUUUUGAGUCUGAACAGAACCUUCAGUCGCCGAAAUUUGUCUAGUAGUGGUAUGCGAGGUAGCUCAGGCAGCUACUUAUGUUGUCGGCGAUGACAAUGGCUGGACGUUUAACGUCAAUGGCUGGGAAAAAGGCAAGAAUUUCAACGCAGGCGAAGUCCUUGUGUUUAAGUACGCAAAAGGAUCACAUAAUGUGGUGGCUUUGGACGAGGGAGGCUAUUGUGGAUGGGAUGUAUCCCCAUACGAUGCAAAGGUGUACACAAGUGGAAAUGACCAAAUUACCCUUGUGAAGGGUUCUAACAGCUUCAUUUGCAGUUUAUCUGAUCACUGUAAUAGUGGCAUGAGGCUUUUAAUCUCUGCAUCUUAAACAACAAGAUAAUAGUAUUUGACUUUGAGUUAUGGAAUAAUGUGUUUCUUGCCUAUUUAUUAUAAAACUAUCUAUGACAAGUUUUCGAUAUAGCAGUUGCUAUCACCAACACAAAAACACCUCGGUUUAACAUUCCUAUGUUAGUGAUGGAGAUUUAUGGCUGGUUAUCUGUGCUAUUCGCCAGAAUAACUGGAAAACUUACACUUAUUAGCCCUCCG
Molecule: long non-coding RNA, 1510 nt
Filed under: Helianthus annuus (common sunflower)
Lineage: Eukaryota; Viridiplantae; Streptophyta; Magnoliopsida; Asterales; Asteraceae
Source: RNAcentral